Molecule: non-coding RNA, 74 nt
Organism: Megalops atlanticus (tarpon)
Lineage: Eukaryota; Metazoa; Chordata; Actinopteri; Elopiformes; Megalopidae
Source: the annotation of a GenBank genome assembly
UGCAGCGUAGCAUAGUGGUUAAGGAGCAGGGCUCAUGACUGAAAGGUUGCGAGUUCAAUUCCCUGCUGCUGCCG